RNAcentral lists this ribosomal RNA (497 nucleotides) under uncultured bacterium. RNAcentral's name for it is "partial 16S ribosomal RNA". It matches the Rfam family "Bacterial small subunit ribosomal RNA", at positions 28 to 507 of the family's 1533-position model. The record is from RNAcentral.
GAUGAACGCUGGCGGCGUGCCUAAUACAUGCAAGUCGAGCGAACAGAUGAGGAGCUUGCUCCUCUGACGUUAGCGGCGGACGGGUGAGUAACACGUGGAUAACCUACCUAUAAGACUGGGAUAACUUCGGGAAACCGGAGCUAAUACCGGAUAAUAUAUUGAACCGCAUGGUUCAAUAGUGAAAGACGGUUUUGCUGUCACUUAUAGAUGGAUCCGCGCCGCAUUAGCUAGUUGGUAAGGUAACGGCUUACCAAGGCAACGAUGCGUAGCCGACCUGAGAGCGUGAUCGGCCACACUGGAACUGAGACACGGUCCAGACUCCUACGGGAGGCAGCAGUAGGGAAUCUUCCGCAAUGGGCGAAAGCUUGACGGAGCAACGCCGCGUGAGUGAUGAAGGUCUUCGGAUCGUAAAACUCUGUUAUUAGGGAAGAACAAAUGUGUAAGUAACUAUGCACGUCUUGACGGUACCUAAUCAGAAAGCCACGGCUAACUACGUG